Molecule: ribosomal RNA, 433 nt
Filed under: uncultured bacterium
Lineage: Bacteria
Description: partial 16S ribosomal RNA
Rfam family: Bacterial small subunit ribosomal RNA
Source: RNAcentral
AGCGAACGCUGGCGGCAGGCCUAACACAUGCAAGUCGAACGAACCUUUCGGGGUUAGUGGCGGACGGGUGAGUAACACGUGGGAACGUGCCUUUAGGUUCGGAAUAACUCAGGGAAACUUGUGCUAAUACCGAAUGUGCCCUUCGGGGGAAAGAUUAUCGCCUUUAGAGCGGCCCGGGUCUGAUUAGCUAGUUGGUUGAGGUAAUGGCUCACCAAGGCGACGAUCAGUAGCUGGUCUGAGAGGAUGAUCAGCCACAUUGGGACUGAGACACGGCCCAAACUCCUACGGGAGGCAGCAGUGGGGAAUCUUGCGCAAUGGGCGAAAGCCUGACGCAGCCAUGCCGCGUGAAUGAUGAAGGUCUUAGGAUUGUAAAAUUCUUUCACCGGGGACGAUAAUGACGGUACCCGGAGAAGAAGCCCCGGCUAACUUCGUG